This 718-nucleotide long non-coding RNA is filed under the name Heterocephalus glaber (naked mole-rat). RNAcentral's name for it is "lncRNA (ENSHGLG00000047335.1)". Lineage: Eukaryota; Metazoa; Chordata; Mammalia; Rodentia; Bathyergidae. The record is from RNAcentral.
AAAGAGCUUGCACGGUAAGGCUGACCCUAAUGCUUUACUUGGAGCCUUUCUGUCACCAAGGGAACAAACCUGCUCUAGCUAGUUGGAUGAUGGGAAAUAUGUGCUUCAGUCUCUGCAAGGCCCCAGUAAACAGCCAACACUGCCAGAGGCACCUAGUAAAGUCCCUGCAGCUGGCCACAGGGACGUCAGUGGAUAAUAGGCAUCAGCAUUACUUGGAGCUUAUUGGGAAUAUGGAAGUUGGGUCCCACCCUAAAGCUAGACGCCCGACUGAGAGUUUCAACUGGAUCCCCAGAUAAAGAACCUGAGCCAUAGCUGGGCAUAGUGGCUCACAUCUGUAAUUGCAGCAUUCUGGGAGGCUGAGGUGCAGCAGAAAGAUUGGAAUAAACACGUGAACACAUCCAGCUCAUCAGCACCACGUGGAUCCUGCAGAAGAUAACUCAGUGACUCGAUCUCAUUCAAACCUGUCUUGCUUCCUUGGCGUUUCUGAAUCAAGACACAGACAGAGAACACCUCUGGCUCAAAAUGCCAAAUAUGGCCCAGAUGGACUGGCCAAGCAGGAGUCAAGAUCAGAUCAUUGCUCCCUAAUUUGCCCCCUGGUGCUCAGCACUUAGUUGGAUACAGCUGCAUUUCUAAACUCCAUUUUUCUCUUGUGCUCACUGGAUAGUAAACACGAAUCACUAUUAAUAAUAAUUCUCCACUGCACGUCCAGAACAAUCCA